This 497-nucleotide ribosomal RNA is filed under the name uncultured bacterium. RNAcentral describes it as "partial 16S ribosomal RNA". It matches the Rfam family "Bacterial small subunit ribosomal RNA", at positions 28 to 507 of the family's 1533-position model. The record is from RNAcentral.
GAUGAACGCUGGCGGCGUGCCUAAUACAUGCAAGUCGAGCGAACAGACGAGGAGCUUGCUCCUCUGACGUUAGCGGCGGACGGGUGAGUAACACGUGGAUAACCUACCUAUAAGACUGGGAUAACUUCGGGAAACCGGAGCUAAUACCGGAUAAUAUAUUGAACCGCAUGGUUCAAUAGUGAAAGACGGUUUUGCUGUCACUUAUAGAUGUAUCCGCGCCGCAUUAGCUAGUUGGUAAGGUAACGGCUUACCAAGGCGACGAUGCGUAGCCGACCUGAGAGGGGGAUCGGACACACGGGAACUGAGACACGGUCCAGACCCCUAGGGGAGGCAGCAGUGGGGAAUAUUGGGCAAGGGGCGAAAGCCGGAGGGAGCCACGCCGAGGGAGUGAAGAAGGUCUUAGGAUCUUAAAACUUUUUAAUUAGGGAAAAAAAAAAGUAAAAGAAAAUCUGCCUGUUUGGACGUUACCAAAAAAAAAAGCACCGGCUAACUACGUG